This is a ribosomal RNA of Cercocebus atys (sooty mangabey), 102 nucleotides long. The record is from Ensembl. Lineage: Eukaryota; Metazoa; Chordata; Mammalia; Primates; Cercopithecidae.
GUCUACGGCCAUACCACCCUGGACACGCCUCGUGAAGCUAAGCAGGGUCAGACCUGGCUGGUACUUGGAUGGGAGUGUAUAAGCCACUGGGUGCUGUGGUGC